RNAcentral lists this long non-coding RNA (2813 nucleotides) under Mus musculus (house mouse). RNAcentral describes it as "long non-coding RNA chr4:21787018-21789831". The record is from RNAcentral. Lineage: Eukaryota; Metazoa; Chordata; Mammalia; Rodentia; Muridae.
GACUUUUGGUAUAGCAUUGGAAAUGUAAAUGAGCUAAAUACCUAAUAAAAAAUGGGAAAAAAAAUUUUUUUCUUAAAGAAGGUUACAGGACUUCACUCAGUGUUCUAAUUGGUGUUUAGAGCCCUGCAGACACUUGUAAGCAGGUGUGUUCUUUUGAAAAGGAAACCAGUCAUGGAUGAUCUUAGUUUUUUUUUAGCUGAUCUCUCAAAGGAUGAGCUGUGGCCAGAUGGAGAUAAGAGAAAUCACGUCAGGUGGUGGGAAGCUAAUAACCCUUAGCUGUCUUUGAGGAAGCUUCAGUGGCACCCAAGAGAUGGGACUCUGAAGUGGUGAGACAUUCAGAAGCAGAAAGCUGGAUAGUUUUGGAUUCACCAUUUCCAAAAGUUCCAGCUGCUGUGCUUCUCGGACAGAUUUGGUUUUGACUAAGAUCCCAUGGCACAUUGGAAGUAAGUUUAGGGGUUUAGUAAUUUGUCAUACCCUGGUAUGAAGUUUCAAUAUAUUUUAACAAAAUACUUUGGAAAUGAAAUAUGAGUAUUGCUAUAAAGGAGGAAUUUGGAGAAUGGUUAAGGAUAAAAAAAUGCUUUUUUUCUUUCUUUGUUUAGUUUGUUUUGUUUUGUUUUUGUUUGGGUUUUUAUUUUUUAUUUUUUGGGUUUUUUUUUUUUUUUGGUUUUUUUUGAGACAGGGUUUCUCUGUAUAACCCUGGCUGUCCUGGAACUCACUCUGUAGACCAGGCUGGCCUCGAACUCAGAAAUCCGCCUGCCUCUGCCUCCCAAGUGCUAGGAUUAAAGGCGUGUACCACCACACCCGGCUCUUUGUUUAGUUUUGAGAUUGUUUUUUUAAAGUUUUUUUUUUUAUAAUUUAUUUUUAUUUUGUGUGCAUUGAUGUUUUGCCUACAUGACCUCUGUGAGGGUGUGGGAUCUCCUAGAACCGUAGUUACAGACAACUGGGAGCUGCCAUGUAGGUGCUGGGAAUUGAACCCAGGUCCUCUGAGAAAGUAGCUGAUGCUCUUAAACACUGAGUCAUCGUCUCUCUACUCCCCAAGAUUGAACUUUCCCCCUUUCCUUUCCUCCCUCCAACCCUCUCUGCUCUCCUUCAAAAUCAUGGCAUCUUUUCUUUUCUUGAGUUGUUAUUAAAUGCAUACAUGUAUUUAUAUAAAUAUGUAUUUCAAAAUAGAACCUAUUGAGUCCAUAUAAUGUUACUUGGACGUAUGCUUUCAGGGCUGAUCAUUUGUCGCUGGACAGCCAGUGGUGUAUUCUUCCUUGGAGAAGGCACCUCUCCCAGAUUUCCUCAGAUGCCUGGAAUACUUUAUGUAGGGAAGAGUAAUACUAAAAAAUUCUUUUUAUGAUUUUUUUUAAAAGAUUUAUUUAUUUAUUAUAUGUUAGUACACUGUAGCUGUCUUCAGACACACCAGAAGAGGGCGUCAGAUCUUGUUGCUGGGACUUGAACUCCGGACCUUUGGAAGAGCAGUCGGGUGCUCUUACCCACUGAGCCAUCUCACCAGCCCUCUUUAUGAUUUUGCACUAAGUAAAACUAACCACUGAGAAGGCAGCCAGUACCUGUUCCCUAAGCAUGCUUCAGAUUAUGCAAGGCCUUCUUUCUAACACGUAUAAUGUUGCUUACAGAGAAUCUAGGCUCGCUCUCCGUGUACCUCUAAAACAAGGAGCUCUUUGAGUCUCAAGAUUUGAUGUCACUGGCUUCUUUGCACUUUAAAAAAAUGUUUGAUUAUGUAACAAAGACAGAUAUCUUUGUUAGAAGUGAAAUCUAAAGAGUGUGAAUGUUCACUAAGAAAUACCAAUAAUUCCACGACAUGUUAACAUAAAUACUAUUUUUUAGGAAUGAUACUUUUCAAAAUAAGGUUGAAUGAGCAGUAUUGCUUUACAUUGUUAUAAGUGUCUUUACUGAUUGCCUCAGUAGAAAAGAGCUGUCGUCUUUCUGUCCCUGUCUCCGUCUCUCUUUUCUCUUUUUGUCUUUUUGAGACAGGGUUUCUCUCAGGAUUCUCAGUCCUGGUGUCAUGGAACUCACUCUGUAGUUAGAGGCUGGCCUCUAACUCACAUAAUCUGCCUGCCUCUGCAUCGUAGAAACCUCUGGCAUUAAGGGUGUGCUCCAAUGCUGCCUAGCAAGAUUGCCUAUAUUCUUGUAUGUGCAGAAGCAGAUACAAGAUAAUAUCACUUGCCCUGUAACACUCUGAAAACCAGUGUUCGACUGCAGCAUCCAGCGUGGCUCCAGGCAUUAGCCUGCAGCCUGACUAAGCAGCAAGGGAAUAAAGAAAAGACAAACGCACAGGCACAUGACACAGGACAACUCAGAUUGGGUGGUCCAGGGUCUGCUAUUCGUAGGAUUUGUCCUUAGGACAAAGAAGAACCACUGUUAGAUUUUCAGUCGAGAAGUGAAUAGUCAGUGUUGUAUUUUAGAUCAGUUACUUGACUUGUAAGACAGGCAGAAAUGGAUAUAAACCAGCUAUUAUCAAAGUGACAUUUAUCAUAUGACUAAAUAAGUCAAUGCUUCUACAGCUGAUGAUAAACUGGGAAUUAGACUUUGAGAAUAAGUGAAUUAUUAUUCAUUUUUAAACUAGAGGAAUUGUGGUGAAAUAGUUUUUCUUAAAACUUCUUUCAGCUGCAGAAAUGGGCAAAUUAGCAUUAAUACUACAUGACUGGUUUAGGCAAUUGCAUUAAGCACUUGAGAUGAAUCCAGUGCAGGUUCCCAGAAGAAUGCUUACAGCUGUGUAGAAUUCACAUCUGAUGUUAGAAUUUGGGUUGGGGGUGAGGGGAACACUCACCCUUGUGUGCAUAAUGAAAAGGACUUAAGAUUGAAAAAGG